Molecule: long non-coding RNA, 252 nt
Filed under: Lathyrus oleraceus (garden pea)
Lineage: Eukaryota; Viridiplantae; Streptophyta; Magnoliopsida; Fabales; Fabaceae
Description: Pisum sativum (pea) long non-coding RNA (PSAT_LNC016573)
Source: RNAcentral
UAACUGUAAAAGGGAUGCACAACAAAGAAACAUCCCACCUCUUUUCUCAUGCCUUGUAUGGAAGGUAUGGUAGAAAUCUACGAGCAAGAAUGACACUGGGUUGUUGGUUAGGAAAACUUCCACGAAAAAAUGAUCCAUGAAAUUGUCUAUAUUAGGGAAUAGAACAAUUUCAUGUACCAAUAAUGCUAAUGUUGCACUACAAAAUUCCAGUCUCUUUUUUUUACCAUCUUCCAAGCAUGGUCUUCAAGUAAC